AAGAAAUGAUGUCACUAUUUGUUACUGAUAUGUAAUUUUUACAAACAAGGAAGUGGAGGUUGAAUACAGAGAAUGCAGAAAAAGGAGGAAAACAGGGGGAAAAGCCAGAAAGAUCUUGAUAAAGAUAAGAUAGAGAUUAGAGAUCAGAUAGCAAGAUUUCAGAAAGGACCUAAAGAAGAGGAAAAUAGCGAGAAUUUCAGGGCUUGUAUUCGCUUUCAACAGACUCAAAAGAAAAAUAGUUGCUGCUGCGUCAUAUCAUAACAGAGGGCAUCUCGUAAAAGAUGUUGAUUAUUUGAAAUAAAUGGCGAGAAAUUAUUCAGUCUCAAGAUGUGAACCUUCACAGGCGAGUUGGCUAAACUCACAGGCACAAUGGCUAUUCAAGAUCCUUUAUAAACAGUGAUAGCGAUUACUAUAAUCCAUGCAGGAACUUUUUCUGGAAUGCGCCGAAAUAAAAUAUGUUACAAAUGAGAAGAUUCUUGUAAUAAUUACAUAUGUUAUUCUAUGCAAAAUGUUAUGUGUUGAGAGUGUUUUCUCAACUUUCUAACGUUGGACAUUUUUAAAAUCUUAAAAUAUUAAAAAAUUGUGACAGUUAUUGGCUAUUAUUAACAGAAGGGGACAUUCGAUAAUGCGUAUUUGGCGUUUUUCCCCCUAAUAUCUGUUUUCAGUUCCUUGGACCAUUAUUUGCUAUUAAAUAUUUAUAAAAACUUAUUUUGGUAGAAAUCAAUCGCUAUAUACUUAAUUAUUUCAAAAGCUCCAUUAUAUUUUAACUAUACAUUUUGAAUUGUAUUUACAAUUUUAUCAACUAAAAAAAAAAAACCAAAAAAAAACACACAAUAAAAAUAAGAAAAAAAAACAAACAAUGCAGGAAUGGUAGAUUAAAAAAAAUCAUUUUAUGAUACACAUGUAUGUUUGGCAUAGACACAAUAAUGUGUGUUUAUAUUAUAUUUCUAUAUUUCUAUAUAUAAUCAAAAUUUAAAGGGACUCCACUUAGAUAUUUUGACAUGACGGGACUGAUUUUUAUAGAUAAAUGUAAUGAUUUAUUUGUAUGGGUCUAGGCCGAUAUAUGGUGUGCAAACUUUCAUAUCGUUUACUAACUCCUCCGUGUUUUCCAGAAUAAUCAUUAUUGUUGUGUAAAUGACACAAAAUUGAAAAUCGUUGCAACGCUUUUCACUCAAAUCGGGCUAAAUGAAGAUUUUUUUACUUAUUUCUAAGUAUAUUUCUCAGGAAUAUUUGUGUAUCUUUCUCUGUUUUAAGUGGCCCAGUUGAUCUAUGAACGAAAUCUAAAUUAUAUGUUUCUAUGAUUUCCGGCCUUUGUGGAGUUCCUUAAAGGUAUUUGUUGCAAGUAUUAUGCGCUGAUUUUGUAGUUCUACUGAAGGUGGAUUGAAUCUCAACACAAUGUUCCGUUUUAUAUAUUUUAAUGUUAAUCUUUCUUAGUGGAAUACCACAAAUAAUAUAUAACAUAUACACAGGUUAUCCUUAUGUUUACAAAUAGAUAUUAAAAAACAGUAACAAAUAUUUCUAGUGGAGAGCCACAACGUUAUCACUUGGAAAUCCAAAAUCUAACUGUUCGAUUUCUCUAUCUUUACAAUAUUUCUAAAAAUGGUUUCGUUUUAAACUGACCAAUAAAAUUUUAACAUUUUUGUGUCUUAAAUAACAAAAUGACCAAUCAGGU
Ruditapes philippinarum (Manila clam) is the source of this 1672-nucleotide long non-coding RNA. RefSeq lists it as uncharacterized. The transcript has 4 exons. The record is from RefSeq and is a predicted model, not a curated record. Lineage: Eukaryota; Metazoa; Mollusca; Bivalvia; Venerida; Veneridae.